This 407-nucleotide ribosomal RNA is filed under the name Platorchestia sp. 3 TT-2020. Its description in RNAcentral is "partial 16S ribosomal RNA". Lineage: Eukaryota; Metazoa; Arthropoda; Malacostraca; Amphipoda; Talitridae. The record is from RNAcentral.
GUAGCAAAAUCAUUUGUUUUUUAAUUGGGAACGGGAAUGAAAGGUUUAACAAACAGAUAAUUUUUUAAUUAAAAAAUUAAAAUUUAUAGUUUACGUAAAAAUACGUAGAUAAUUAUAAGGGACGAUAAGACCCUAAAAGCUUUAUUAGUAAAAUUUUUAUUAUUGUUUUAAUCUAUUAAUAAAUAUAUUUUAACUGGGGCGGUUGUUUUUAUAACAAAUAUUUUUUGUACGCUUAGGAUUUAAGAUCCUUAAUAUUAGGAUAAAUGGUUUAAGUUACUUUAGGGAUAACAGCGUGAUAAUAAUGGGGAGACCUUAUUUAUGUUAUUGAUUGCGACCUCGAUGUUGAAUUAAAUUUUCUAUACGAAGCAGAAAUUGUAUGCGAAAGUUUGUUCAACUUUUAAAAUUUU